UACGUAGGGUCCGAGCGUUUGUCCGGAAUUACUGGGCGUAAAGAGCUCGUAGGUGGUUUGUCGCGUUGUUCGUGAAAACUCACAGCUUAACUGUGGGCGUGCGGGCGAUACGGGCAGACUUGAGUACUGCAGGGGAGACUGGAAUUCCUGGUGUAGCGGUGAAAUGCGCAGAUAUCAGGAGGAACACCGGUGGCGAAGGCGGGACUCUGGGCCGAUACUGACGCUGGAGGUGCGAAAGCGUGGGGAGCAAACAGG
This 255-nucleotide ribosomal RNA is filed under the name uncultured bacterium. Its description in RNAcentral is "partial 16S ribosomal RNA". It matches the Rfam family "Bacterial small subunit ribosomal RNA", at positions 524 to 776 of the family's 1533-position model. The record is from RNAcentral.